AGAGAAUAUUUAUCAAGGAAAGCCGCUAACUAUCCUUAAGUAAUUAAAAUUACUAUUCUCUU
This 62-nucleotide transfer RNA is filed under the name Kokeshia sp. NKU02. RNAcentral's name for it is "tRNA-Ser". The record is from RNAcentral. Lineage: Eukaryota; Metazoa; Arthropoda; Insecta; Hemiptera; Schizopteridae.